GAGAGCAGUGUUAACAGCACCUCACAUCUGGGGUGGCCUGGAGGCUGGGCCAGCAUGAAUUAGUGUAAUGAAGGUCUUCUCCUCUCUCACACGAGGUUGGAAUCUCACACCAGAUCAACUACCUGGAUUAGAGAUACAACCAAAGAGCACAGUAAACUGCAUGGACAUUUAGGACCAGAGCACUAAUAUAGGUUGGCUAUUAAAUCUGGAAACAGGAGGAAGUUGGCUGCCAUGUUGUGAGGAUGCACAAGCAGCCCCAUACAGAGUCCCUCCUGGUGAGGAUCCAAAGCCACCUGCCAACAGCCCGUGAAGAACUAAAGCCUUCUGCCCACAACCAAUGCAACCAGUGCUAAUUUGUCAGCCUUGUGAGUGGGGCCCCUUGGAAACAGAUCCUCCAGCCCCAUGCAGAUGACUGCAGCCCAAGCUGACAUCUUGACUGCAAAUUCAUGAGAGACCCCAAGUCAAAUUCACCCAGUUAAAUCACUCCUGCAUCCCUGACUCACAGGAAUUGUGAGAUAAUAAAUGUGUAUUAUUGUUGUAA
Molecule: long non-coding RNA, 541 nt
Filed under: Homo sapiens (human)
Lineage: Eukaryota; Metazoa; Chordata; Mammalia; Primates; Hominidae
Description: novel transcript
Source: RNAcentral